CAUAUCAAUAAGCGGAGGAAAAGAAACUAACAAGGAUUCCCCUAGUAACUGCGAGUGAAGCGGGAAAAGCUCAAAUUUAAAAUCUGGCAGUCUUUGGCUGUCCGAGUUGUAAUCUAGAGAAGUGUUAUCCGCGCUGGACCGUGUACAAGUCUCCUGGGAUGGAGCGUCGUAGAGGGUGAGAAUCCCGUCUUUGACACGGACUGCCAGGGCUUUGUGAUGCGCUCUCAAAGAGUCGAGUUGUUUGGGAAUGCAGCUCAAAAUGGGUGGUAAAUUCCAUCUAAAGCUAAAUAUUGGCGAGAGACCGAUAGCGAACAAGUACCGUGAGGGAAAGAUGAAAAGAACUUUGGAAAGAGAGUUAAACAGUACGUGAAAUUGCUGAAAGGGAAACGCUUGAAGUCAGUCGCGUUGUCCAGGGAUCAACCUUGCUUUUGCUUGGUGCACUUUCUGGUUGACGGGUCAGCAUCAAUUUUGACUAUUGGAAAAAGAUUAGGGGAAUGUGACAUCUUUGGAUGUGUUAUAGCCCUUGGUUGCAUACAAUGGUUGGGAUUGAGGAACUCAGCACGCCGCAAGGCCGGGUUUUAACCACGUACGUGCUUAGGAUGCUGGCAUAAUGGCUUUAAUCGACCCGUCUUGAAACACGGACCAAGGAGUCUAACAUGCCUGCGAGUGUUUGGGUGGAAAACCCGAGCGCGUAAUGAAAGUGAAAGUUGAGAUCCCUGUCGUGGGGAGCAUCGACGCCCGGACCAGACCUUUUGUGACGGUUCCGCGGUAGAGCAUGUAUGUUGGGACCCGAAAGAUGGUGAACUAUGCCUGAAUAGGGUGAAGCCAGAGGAAACUCUGGUGGAGGCUCGUAGCGAUUCUGACGUGCAAAUCGAUCGUCAAAUUUGGGUAUAGGGGCGAAAGACUAAUCGAACCAUCUAGUAGCUGGUUCCUGCC
RNAcentral lists this ribosomal RNA (936 nucleotides) under Cortinarius mysoides. RNAcentral describes it as "partial large subunit ribosomal RNA". It matches the Rfam family "Eukaryotic large subunit ribosomal RNA", at positions 39 to 962 of the family's 3401-position model. The record is from RNAcentral. Lineage: Eukaryota; Fungi; Basidiomycota; Agaricomycetes; Agaricales; Cortinariaceae.